RNAcentral lists this long non-coding RNA (1163 nucleotides) under Gossypium barbadense (sea-island cotton). Its description in RNAcentral is "long non-coding RNA (GBAR_LNC019713)". The record is from RNAcentral. Lineage: Eukaryota; Viridiplantae; Streptophyta; Magnoliopsida; Malvales; Malvaceae.
CAAACUUGAAUCAAAGUUUACAUGGGGGGGCAAAGAUAUACCUUCCGUGACGACUCCGUCAAAUCCCCACUUGCAAGUCCUCCGACAACUUACCUUAAAAUGUGCUCUCCAUCAAAUACAGUCUCCGCGCCUCCACGUGUUCUAUCUUAUCCUCUUUCAAACCUUUUCAAUCUCCUACACCUGUUCCUACCCUAAUGCCUUUGAAACCUACCUGGCAAAUGGUCAAAUGUUUUAACGUUAUCCUCCAAAGACCAUCAGAUGGCAAGAUAUGACAUUGAUGCUAACCCUUUUAUACCGCAGACGAUCAUCUCUCCCCCACCUCUAUCCACAAGAAUUAAUAGUGGCGAUUUCUCUUCCCCUUCAUUUACCAACAACUCUGAAAAGUUCAAUGGCGAACGCUCUUGCAUUCUCUUUCUCAGCCCCAAUCCGGGCCUCAUCCGAAUCACUUAAAAGACCCGACCCGAGUCGUAAGAAUCCCAUGGUGGACCCCUCUCUUCGGGUGGUCAUCCAACCCCGAUUACCUCAACGAUAGCAAUGCCGGAAACACAUCGGAGACGAAGCCGAGAUGCAGAUACACACUGGGGAGCUUCACGGAGGAGAAAGCGAGGCAACUCCGAAAGAAGACGAUGGAGAACUCGUCGUUUCACGAUAUGAUGUACCACUCGGCGAUCGCGUCUCGGCUGGCGUCGGAUAUCUCCGAGAAGUGAUUGAAGGGUAGUAAGGGAAAAAAUAAAUUGUCGAAAUGAAAAUGUAUCCAUCACCGUCGUUAUUGUCCGUCGGGAUUUCGGGCAAUGUUUGCGUUAAGGACAGACAUUGUACUUUAAUAUUGAUUUUAGCCCGUUCAUGAACGGUGAUGCAUUAUCUUUUCCUUCUUUCUUUUUUGGGUACAAAUGCCUUCUCUUUUCUGAAAUUCUGACGGUGUCAUACUUUUUUGCCGACGUGGAAGGCAGUUUUCUUUUAAUAAUCAGGAUCUACUUUAGAUCUUUCCACGUCAGCAUCUGGCUACCUCUUUCAUUUUCUAUCUUUUUCACAAACGUCAAAUUUAUAUUCAUUAAACGCGAUAUAUUUAACUUGUUGAAGUCUUCUUAAUAAAUAGUGAAUAGAUUUAAAUUUACAUAAUUUUUUUAAAUAAAAUAGAUUAAAUUAAAAAUUAUUUAAUGAAA